CGUAGGGUGCGAGCGUUGUCCGGAAUUAUUGGGCGUAAAGAGCUCGUAGGCGGCCUGUUGCGUCUGCUGUGAAAGCCCGGGGCUUAACCCCGGGUCUGCAGUGGAUACGGGCAGGCUAGAGUUCGGCAGGGGAGACUGGAAUUCCUGGUGUAGCGGUGGAAUGCGCAGAUAUCAGGAGGAACACCGGUGGCGAAGGCGGGUCUCUGGGCCGAUACUGACGCUGAGGAGCGAAAGCGUAGGGAGCGAACAGGAUUAGAUACCCUGGUAGUCCACGCCGUAAACGUUGGGCGCUAGGUGUGGGGUCCCUUCCACGGGUUCCGUGCCGUAGCUAACGCAUUAAGCGCCCCGCCUGGGGAGUACGGCCGCAAGGCUA
This 373-nucleotide ribosomal RNA is filed under the name uncultured organism. RNAcentral describes it as "bacterial SSU rRNA". It matches the Rfam family "Bacterial small subunit ribosomal RNA", at positions 526 to 896 of the family's 1533-position model. The record is from RNAcentral.